This 498-nucleotide ribosomal RNA is filed under the name uncultured bacterium. RNAcentral describes it as "partial 16S ribosomal RNA". It matches the Rfam family "Bacterial small subunit ribosomal RNA", at positions 28 to 523 of the family's 1533-position model. The record is from RNAcentral.
GAUGAAUGCUGGCGGCGUGCCUAACACAUGCAAGUCGAGCGGUAACAGGUCUUCGGAUGCUGACGAGUGGCGAACGGGUGAGUAAUACAUCGGAACGUGCCCGAUCGGGGGGGAUAACGGAGCGAAAGCUUUGCUAAUACCGCAUACGAUCUACGGAUGAAAGCAGGGGACCGCAAGGCCUUGCGCGGACGGAGCGGGCGAUGGCAGAUUAGGUAGUUGGUGGGAUAAAAGCUUACCAAGCCGACGAUCUGUAGCUGGUCUGAGAGGACGACCAGCCACACUGGGACUGAGACACGGCCCAGACUCCUACGGGAGGCAGCAGUGGGGAAUUUUGGACAAUGGGCGAAAGCCUGAUCCAGCCAUGCCGCGUGCAGGAUGAAGGCCUUCGGGUUGUAAACUGCUUUUGUACGGAACGAAAAGACUCUUUCUAAUAAAGAGGGUCCAUGACGGUACCGUAAGAAUAAGCACCGGCUAACUACGUGCCAGCAGCCGCGGUAA